AGUGAACGCUGGCGGUAGGCCUAACACAUGCAAGUCGAACGGCAGCACAGUAAGAGCUUGCUCUUACGGGUGGCGAGUGGCGGACGGGUGAGGAAUACAUCGGAAUCUACUUUUUCGUGGGGGAUAACGUAGGGAAACUUACGCUAAUACCGCAUACGACCUACGGGUGAAAGCAGGGGAUCUUCGGACCUUGCGCGAUUGAAUGAGCCGAUGUCGGAUUAGCUAGUUGGCGGGGUAAAGGCCCACCAAGGCGACGAUCCGUAGCUGGUCUGAGAGGAUGGACCGACACACUGAAACUGUGAAACGGUCCAAACUACUACGAGAGGCGGAAGUGCGGAAUAUUCGACAAUGGGCGCGAGCCUGAUCCUACCAUACCGCGUGGGUGAAGAAGGCCUUCGGGUUGUAAAGCCCUUUUGUUGGGAAAGAAAAGCAGCAGGUUAAUACCCAGCUGUUCUGACGGUACCCAAAGAAUAAGCACCGGCUAACUUCGUG
Molecule: ribosomal RNA, 492 nt
Filed under: uncultured bacterium
Lineage: Bacteria
Description: partial 16S ribosomal RNA
Rfam family: Bacterial small subunit ribosomal RNA
Source: RNAcentral